UGACACCUUAAAAGUUCUGUUUCGGAAAGGUUUAAGUCAUGAAUUACAAACUGAACUGGCAUGUCGAGAUGAGGGGAAAAGUUUGAAUGAUUUCAUCGAACUGACAAUAGCAAUUGACAAUCUGCAACGUUCACGUAAACCCCGUUCUCGUGUCAGCACUGCCAUUAAAGCAGUUCAGUCUGUUGAAGACCCUGAACCUAUGCAAGUUAAUUCCUAUCAUCUCUCAUCUGAAGAAAGGAAUCGUCGCUUGGCAAAUCCCAGCUGUCCUUCACGUCCCUCAUCUGUCUCGUCCAAAUUGCUACCAUAGAUGGUCGUCCCCUGGGAACUGGUAUCAUCACUCAUCUUACUCAAAGUCUAUCCAUGACAACCGGUUUACUGCACCAGGAGGUCAUUCAGUUCUACGUUCUGC
This is a long non-coding RNA of Cyprinus carpio carpio, 409 nucleotides long. Lineage: Eukaryota; Metazoa; Chordata; Actinopteri; Cypriniformes; Cyprinidae. The record is from Ensembl.